Molecule: ribosomal RNA, 180 nt
Filed under: BTEX-degrading bacterium enrichment culture
Lineage: Bacteria
Description: partial 16S ribosomal RNA
Rfam family: Bacterial small subunit ribosomal RNA
Source: RNAcentral
GGCAGCAGUGGGGAAUAUUGGACAAUGGGCGAAAGCCUGAUCCAGCCAUGCCGCGUGUGUGAAGAAGGUCUUCGGAUUGUAAAGCACUUUAAGUUGGGAGGAAGGGCAGUAACCUAAUACCUUAGUGUUUUGACGUUACCGACAGAAUAAGCACCGGCUAACUUCGUGCCAGCAGCCGCG